Molecule: long non-coding RNA, 132 nt
Organism: Thalassophryne amazonica
Lineage: Eukaryota; Metazoa; Chordata; Actinopteri; Batrachoidiformes; Batrachoididae
Exons: 3
Source: RefSeq, a predicted model, not a curated record
GUGUGUGUGUGUGUGCAUGAUACAUUCAUUGUGAGGACAUAAUAUCAUUGUAAAUGCGUUAAAAAUACAUGCAUGACACAAGAAAGUGAAAACACUUAUUUCCAUUGUGGUCCAAUUUGAAAAUCAAAUCAC